CAAUAGCGUAUAUUAAAGUUGUUGCGGUUAAAAAGCUCGUAGUUGGAUUUCUGCUGAGGACGAUCGGUCCGCCCACUGGGUGAGUAUCUGGCUCGGCCUUGGCAUCUUCUUGGAGAACGUUGCUGCACUUGACUGUGUGGUGCGGUAUCCAGGACUUUUACUUUGAGGAAAUUAGAGUGUUUCAAGCGGGCGCACGCCUUGAAUAUAUUAGCAUGGAAUAAUAAUAUAGGAUCUUGGUUCUAUUUUGUUGGUUUCUAGAGCUAAGAUAAUGAUUAAUAGGGACAAUUGGGGGCAUUCGUAUUAACGCGUCAGAGGUGGAAUUCUUGGAUUGCGUUACGACGAACUACUGCGAAAGCAUUUGCCAAGGAUGUUUNCAUUGA
This 380-nucleotide ribosomal RNA is filed under the name uncultured eukaryote. Its description in RNAcentral is "partial 18S ribosomal RNA". It matches the Rfam family "Eukaryotic small subunit ribosomal RNA", at positions 592 to 976 of the family's 1831-position model. The record is from RNAcentral.